Molecule: ribosomal RNA, 440 nt
Filed under: uncultured bacterium
Lineage: Bacteria
Description: partial 16S ribosomal RNA
Rfam family: Bacterial small subunit ribosomal RNA
Source: RNAcentral
CCUACGGGGGGCAGCAGUAGGGAAUAUUGCUCAAUGGGGGAAACCCUGAAGCAGCAAAGCCGCGUGGAGGAUGAAGGUUUUCGGAUUGUAAACUCCUUUUGUUAGAGAAGAUAAUGACGGUAUCUAACGAAUAAGCACCGGCUAACUCCGUUCCAGCAGCCGCGGUAAUACGGAGGGUGCAAGCGUUACUCGGAUUCACGGGGCGUAAAGCGCGCGUAGGCGGGAUAGCAAGUCAGAUGUGAAAUCCUAUGGCUUAACCAUAGAACUGCAUUUGAAACUGUUAUUCUAGAGUAUGGGAGAGGUAGGUGGAAUUCGUGGUGGAGGGGUAAAAUCCGUAGAGAUCAAGAGGAAUACGCAUUGCGAAGGCGACCUGCUAGAACAUAACUGACGCUGAUGCGCGAAAGCGUGGGGAGCAAACAGGAUUAGAUACCCCUGUAGUC